UCGAGAAUCUUCCACAAUGGACGAAAGUCUGAUGGAGCGACGCCGCGUGAUUGAUGAAGCUUUUCGGAGUGUAAAGAUCUUUUAUGAGGGAAGAAGUUUAUUGACGGUACCUCAUGAAUAAGGGGCUCCUAAUCUCGUGCCAGCAGGAGCGGUAAUACGAGAGCCCCAAGCGUUAUCCGGAAUUAUUGGGCGUAAAGGGUGCGUAGGUGGUCGCGUUAGUCGUUUGUCAAAUCUUCGGGCUCAACCCGAAAUCCGCAGGCGAAACGGCGCGACUAGAGAGUGUGAGGGGUUUGCGGAACUCAUGGUGUAGGGGUGAAAUCCGUUGAUAUCAUGGGGAACACCAAAAGCGAAGGCAGCAAACUGGCGCACAUCUGACACUCAAGCACGAAAGCGUGGGUAGCGAAUGGGAUUAGAUACCCCCGUAGUCC
RNAcentral lists this ribosomal RNA (428 nucleotides) under uncultured bacterium. RNAcentral describes it as "bacterial SSU rRNA". It matches the Rfam family "Bacterial small subunit ribosomal RNA", at positions 355 to 796 of the family's 1533-position model. The record is from RNAcentral.